CGGUUUCGGGUACGCCAACAGACAGUCAAACGGACAGGGUUUCCCCUGUACCGCAGACAGAGUCUCCUUUGUACGUCAAUGCGUCACAAUCCAAACAAUGCAAUACACAAGGUUCCAACCAGGAACAGUAUUCAAACAAGAAUUGCAUAAGGAAGCAUCGAAAACAUAAAUACAAGCAUUCAUCUCAAAUUUUACAUAUUACAUGCAUCUUACAUUUUAGUCUUCCAAAUACAAUCCAAAUUAUUACAAAUUAUUACAAUCUUAUUCUUUCCAUUACUAAACCCCUAAGCUAAGCCGACUUAGGGUACCGCUAUCUCUGGUUUCGGUGGUAGGGCGCUAACUAUGGAGCUACACCCUCGCCUCGCGCCGCCGCGCCGCUCACGUGUGAACCUGUACCCCAAA
This 402-nucleotide long non-coding RNA is filed under the name Ananas comosus (pineapple). Its description in RNAcentral is "long non-coding RNA (ACOM_LNC012305)". Lineage: Eukaryota; Viridiplantae; Streptophyta; Magnoliopsida; Poales; Bromeliaceae. The record is from RNAcentral.